AUUCAUCCGACGAGUCCUAAAUAGGUCGAAAUGCACGUCCAUGGAU
This 46-nucleotide non-coding RNA is filed under the name Schistosoma mattheei. Lineage: Eukaryota; Metazoa; Platyhelminthes; Trematoda; Strigeidida; Schistosomatidae. The record is from RNAcentral.